RNAcentral lists this transfer RNA (35 nucleotides) under Ixodes hirsti. RNAcentral's name for it is "partial tRNA-Met". The record is from RNAcentral. Lineage: Eukaryota; Metazoa; Arthropoda; Arachnida; Ixodida; Ixodidae.
AUAAUUUUAUUUAUAAAGUAAGCUAAAAUAAAUAA